GAGCGGUAACAGGUGUAGCAAUACAUGCUGACGAGCGGCGAACGGGUGAGUAAUGCUUUGGAAUCUUCCCAGUAGUGGGGAAUAACCAGUCGAAAGAUUGGCUAAUACCGCAUACGUCUGUAAAGGGAAAGCGGGGGCUCGUAAGACCUCGCGCUAUUGGAUGAGCCAAAGUCGGAUUAGCUAGUUGGUGGGGUAAUGGCCUACCAAGGCGACAAUCCGUAGCUGGUCUGAGAGGACGACCAGCCACACCGGAACUGAGACACGGUCCGGACUCCUACGGGAGGCAGCAGUGGGGAAUAUUGGACAAUGGGGGCAACCCUGAUCCAGCGACGCCGCGUGUGUGAAGAAGGCCCGCGGGUUGUAAAGCACUUUUAGUGGGGACAAAAAGCUACGGAUUAACACCCUGUGGUCUUGAUUUAACCCACAGAAAAAGCACCGGCUAACUCUGUG
This 450-nucleotide ribosomal RNA is filed under the name uncultured bacterium. Its description in RNAcentral is "bacterial SSU rRNA". It matches the Rfam family "Bacterial small subunit ribosomal RNA", at positions 64 to 507 of the family's 1533-position model. The record is from RNAcentral.